AUUAAGCAGUUUUUUGCAUCGUUGAGCUGCUUUUCAGCUCCAAAUGGCUUAAACUUUCCAUAUCUGAAGGAUUAUCUGUCCAUAGAAUAAGAUCACUUACUGAGGCUUUUAUUGGGUCCAUCCACCUUCUGGAUUCAGGGCUGGUAAGGGAGAAGUGGGUAAAAGAGGCAAAAAAGCAAGAGGGAGAGAGAAAAAGGAGGAGGCAUCUUUUCAGUCCCAGCUGCAGCUACAGGUAGAUACCUGAUCUCCUUGGAAGAC
This 258-nucleotide long non-coding RNA is filed under the name Pogona vitticeps (central bearded dragon). RNAcentral's name for it is "lncRNA (ENSPVIG00000017379.1)". The record is from RNAcentral. Lineage: Eukaryota; Metazoa; Chordata; Lepidosauria; Squamata; Agamidae.